RNA transcript from Lactuca sativa (garden lettuce), 5317 nucleotides. It is a transcript of the gene named TMV resistance protein N, with no coding region annotated. The record is from RefSeq and is a predicted model, not a curated record. NCBI's taxonomy places the organism in Eukaryota, Viridiplantae, Streptophyta, Magnoliopsida, Asterales, Asteraceae.
GUUAAUCGAUCGGGAGAACUAGGAGAAAAGUCAACGGUAGCGACCAACUCAAACCGAUCGAAGUUGAAAGAACAAAUUAAGGAUAAAUACUAUUGAAAUUGAAGUAUAAACUUGCAAAGUAAAGAGAUAGAAAGGGUUUCUGCCAAAGUUUGGUGUUGCUCGGAAUUUGAGGUUUUAUUGGAAAGUCACACCUCUCGGUAUGAAGUUCAUUUCAUUGAGAUGCUCAAACCACAUACAUUCAAUUUCUUUCUCUUUGUCUGUGUAGUUCAUUUCAUUAAAGUGAUCAAACCACAUACAUUCUUUCUCAACAAAUCAACACAUCUAUGGCAUCAUCAUUUGCUCCAGCUUUUUCUUACCAUGUUUUUCUUAGCUUUAGAGGAGAAGAUACUCGCAAUAGUUUUGUGGGCCAUCUCUACUCAGCUCUUGAACAAAAAGGAAUCCAUACUUACAAGGACAACGAAACACUUCCUCGGGGUGAAUCGAUUGGUCCAGCCCUUAUGAAGGCUAUAGAAGAAUCACAGAUUGCUGUCAUCGUAUUCUCUGAAAACUAUGCAGAUUCUUCAUGGUGCUUAGAUGAACUUGUACAUAUCAUGAAAUGCAAGGGUAAGAGAGGCCAAAUCAUUCUUCCCAUAUUUUAUGGCGUGAAGCCGUCUGAAUUGAGAAAACAAAAAAGGAAAUACGGAGAAGCAUUUGCCAAACAUGAGCUGAAGAACAAGAAAAAAGUUAAAUCUUGGGGACAAUCAUUUUUGAAAAGUCCUUUGGGAUGGCUCUUUGCACCGCUUGAAAAGAAUCGGAAAUACAUAGAAGAAUCUGUCAAGCAUGAGUUGGAGAACCAGACCAAGGUUGAAUCUUGGAAAAAAGCAGUUGUGGAUGCAAGUAACAUUGCUGGAUGGGAAUUCAAUGACAAUGCCAACAUGGACGAAUCAAAGUUUAUCAAAACAAUUGUUGAGAAAAUUUCGCUGAUGCUGCAUCCAGUAACUUCAAGUGUGAAUGACAACCUGGUUGGAAUAGUGACUCGCAUGCAAGAUUUUAAAUCAAAGCUACAAAUUAGAUCGGGUGGUGUUCUCAUGAUUGGGAUAUGGGGUGGUGGGGGUGGUGGUAAGACUACUCUUGCAUCUUAUAUUUAUAGUGAAUUCUCUAGAGAGUUUUUUGGUUGCUGCUUUGUUGAAGAUAUUCGAGAGAAAUCAAGUAAGAAUGGUUUGGAACAAUUGCAAGAAAAAAUUCUCUCUGAUGUUUUAAAACCAAAUCAAGUGCAGAUAAGGGGAGUUGAGGAAGGAAAACACAUGAUAAAGGAUAGGUUAGGCCAUAGAAAGGUCUUGAUUGUUCUUGAUGAUGUUGAUAACCUUGAACAACUCAAAGCGUUAGCAGGAUCACAUAAUUGGUUCGGUGAAGGAAGUCUAAUAAUAAUCACAAGCAGAGAUGAACAUUUAUUAAAUGUUCACAAAGUUGACGUGAUACACAAAAUUAGUUUGUUACAUGAUGAUGAGGCCAUGGAGCUCUUCUGCAAUCAUGCACUCCGGGGUGAUAGGCGUGUUGAAGAUUAUGAGAUGCUUUCAAAUGAUGUGGUUUCUUAUGCUGGUGGGCUCCCAUUAGCACUAAGAGUUCUCGGUUGUUUUCUAUGUGACAAAGAUAUGAAUCAGUGGAGGAGUGCAAUAGCCAGACUAAAAGAGAUCCCAGAUACUGAUAUUCUGGGAAAGCUAAAAGUCAGCUUUGAUGGACUUAAACAGCAUGAGCAAGACUUGUUCCUUGAUAUAGCAUGUUUUUUUAGGUGGGCGAAGAAAGAUACCGCAAUGGAGAUUCUUGAUGCUUGUGGUUUACAUCCUGUUAUAGGAAUAGAGGUGUUGAGACAAAAGGCUCUCAUAACUAUUUCUUGGGAUGGAAGAUUUGAUAUGCAUGAUCUGGUGCAAGAAAUGGGACACCACAUUGUUAGAGGUGAACACCCCAAGAAUCCUGAAAAACAUAGUAGAGUUUGGAAGACAGAAGAUGUUCUUAAAAUAUGUGCCAUGGAUGCAACCACGGAACUUGAAAAGAUCGAAGCAAUAAAAAUAGUUUUUCGGUUUCAGCCAGCAAAAAAACAAGAACAAGAUCUUCAUUCGGUUGCUGCAAACAUGAAGAACCUUCGGUAUAUGGAAUCAAUAGGUGAUCCUGCAAAAUCAUUGUUUAAUGACCUUCCACUCACUGAGCUUUGCUGUCUUAUAUUGUAUGAUGGCUUGCAAAAACAACUUUGGGAGGAUUAUAUGUUUCUGCCAAGUUUGAAGUUAUUGAAACUUCACAACAUGCAUAACCUAUCCAUGACACCCGAUUUUAAUGGACUUCCAAAGCUUGAAAGAUUCAUUCUUCAUGAAUGCCAUUGUUUAAAAGAGAUUCAUCCAUCGAUUGGUUGCUUGGAAAAGCUUGUUUUCUUAUCUAUAGAAUAUUGUUCUGGUCUUGAGAUGUUUCCACCCAUUUGGGGAAUAAAGAAACUAGAGAUACUUUCAUUCGCAGUCCAGUGCAAAGUUGUUGAGUUUUCAAAGAUCCAACAACAGAAGAUGGAGGAUUUACUACAUCUUGAUUUGGAUCAUGGUGGGAAUGAAAUUGCAUCCUACAUAGAAUCCUGUCCAAACUUUUUAGUUUUUUGUUGGGUAGAUUUUUUUCACAACAUGCAUGAACUCUGCUUCUUAAGGAAGUUGAAUCUCCGCUGGUGCAAGUUGCGAGAUGAAGACAUAGGCUCUUAUGUUUUAGAGUUGCCCAACUUGCAACAACUUGAUCUAAAAGGAAAUAAGUUUUCACAAUUAAGUUUUAGUUGCUUGCAACUUCCUCGGCUCAAAUGGCUUGAUGUGUCAUCCUGCAAUGAACUUGUAGAAUUGUCAGAGAUGCCAUCAAGUAUAGCUGUUGUUAUAGCAGAUGAUUGUAGCUCGCUUGAAAGCUUUGGAGAUAUCUCAAACUGUAAAUGGUUGUGGAAAGUCUCACUUCUAGGGGACAACAAACUUGGUGAUGGUGAGAUAUUACUAGACUCCAUGCUCCAGGGGAAUGCUAUUGAAGAUCACUUUAUCAGUGUCAGACUUCAAUAUCAGAAUCCAAGGGCAUUUGUAGGUAGAUUCUUUAGGGGAAAAACAUUCACAAAGCGUCUCCCACAUGCUAAAUGGAACCUAUUUGAUGACGACACGUUUAGACUGGUUCUUCCAGAUGAUUGGUGCAAUGACUUCUGUGGGUUCUUAAUACGCAUUAUUACCCUGGAGAUGGGUACGAUUGAUAUAAUCAUGAAGCAGGAGCAAGAUCAGGAAAAUUCUCGAUUUGAGAUUUGGCAGGACUCUAAUGAUUCACCAGAGCCUGAAUAUGAUGGAGAAGUAACGACACAUGUGGGAUAUGUUUCCUUUAGUUCAUUGAGGCAGACCACAUCAUUGAAUCCAUCAUACAAUAUCAUUUCAUUUUCCAUAAAGGGGUAUUGGACUUCAUUUGCAGCUGAGCUCGUUCCUAGAAAAAGUAAAGAUGAUCCGGUGCAAACAAGAAAAGUUGCAACAGAUUGCUCAGAGUUUUGGGAUGAGGAAAAUAAUAUCUCUGGAUUCUUUGCCAAUUUGUAUAGUCCCCACUCUGAACUUAUAUAUGAUGGUGAUUACACUGCAACAUACAUUGAGAAACAAAUUGCAAAGGGAGGACAAUGAAUGAAAUGAAGAUGAUUGAAUAUCAUGGAAAGCAGCACCUCUAUAUCAUCAUGACAGGGUGCGACUCACAGUAGAGGGUUAUUGUAGCAGAUUCGUUCAUAGCAGAUUGAUGUGUUGAUUCGUCGUUGCUGUUAAUUCGUUCGUUGGUGCUGUUAAUUCGUUCGCUGUUGUCAGUAUUCGUUGUUACGUUGCUUUGUUGUCGCUGUUGAUUCGUUGUCUGUUUGAUUGCUUCCGAUGGUUUGUUACUCCUUUCAUUCUCAGAUUGUUAUACUAUUAUUGUGGUUAUUUAUUCUCUGUCAACAUGACUGGAAAUGAUGAUUCCCUUCAGUCAAUUAGUACUCACCUAGAUGGAAAGAAUUAUACGUAUUGGAGUUUCGUUAUGAAGAACUUCCUUCGUAGGAAGAAUAUGUGAGGCUAUGUCACUGGGACUAAAGCCAAACCCUCAGUUCCUCAAACUAAGAAUUUUGAUUUGUUGUUUGAUGCUUGGGAGACAGAUAACUCCAAGGUUAUUACUUGGAUUAGUAACUCUGUUACUCAGUCUAUUGGUAUGCAAUUGGCUAUGUAUGACACAACAAAGGAAGUUUGGAAUCACUUGGAGAGACUGUAUACUUAGUCUAAUUUUGCUAAACAAUACCAGUUAGAAUAUGAUAUUCGUGCCCUUCAAAAGAAUGACCAGAGUAUUCAAGAUUUCUAUGCUGCUAUGUAUGAUCUGUGGGAUCAAUUGGCUCUUACUGAAUCUAAAGAGUUAAAAGAUUUUGAGCCUUACAUUGCUAGGAGGGAAGAACAACGCUUGGUCUAGUUCUUGAUGACCUUGCGCUCUGAUUUUGAAGGUUUACAUGGAACAAUUCUUCAUCGCUCUCCUCUUCCCUCAGUUGAUUCUGUUGUCCAUGAGUUAAUUGCAGAAGAGACUCGUAUCAAGUCUCAUGCAGAUAAAGGGUUUAAAGCAACUUCUAUUCCUACUCCUGCUCCUGCUGUGCUUGCUGUCUCCUCAAAUCAGUCCCGACAAACUUCAAGGGUUGCUUAUGACGAGUGUGCAUUCUGCAAACAGAAGAAUCAUUGGAAAGCUCAGUGUCCAUUGUUAGUCAAUAAGGGUAAAUCUGGUCAACCUCAGUCGGGACAAUAAAAUAGGUUUGGUCAACAGAAGUUUCAGCCACGUUCAUCUGGUACUCCUCCAUAGACCCCUCAUCCUCCACAGUUUGCUGAUGCUGCUAUUCCACCAAUUGAUACAAAUUCUAUUAGAAACAUGCCCCCAUCUGCAUUGGAUCCCAAGGUGUUUGAGAGCUUUAGACAAUAUUUGGCUUCUAAUCCCACUGCCAUGUCUGCAUCUAUGUCUCACUCUAGUCCUACUUCAUCUGGUACAUCAGGAUCAACACACUUAGAAGGUGAUUGGGAUCGACCGUAGGGUGGGGGAACUGUAUGUCUUGGAGGUUCUCAAAGUGUCUGUUGUUGCUGCCUCCAACAUUGAUUUAUCUUCUUUCCGUUUGAGUCAUUUGUCAUCUGAGUUUUAUCUUUGGCAUUCUUGUUUGGGACAUGUGUCUGUAUCACGUUUGAAUUUUUUAGCAUCUAGUGGUAUUUUGGGUCAUUUAGACACUUGUGAUAUUUUUGAUUAUAGUGGUUGUAAACUGGAAAAAUUCUCUGCUUUACCUUUCAAUAAAAGUAUGUCUUGUUCUACUGUC